GAUGAACACUGGCGGCGUGCCUCAAACAUGCAAGUCGAGCGGGGCUAUGUAAUAUCGCAAGGUAGAACAUAGCCUAGCGGCGAACGGGUGAGUAACACGUGGGUAACCUGCCUGGAAGACAGGGAUAACGAUUCGAAAGGGUCGCUAAUACCUGAUAAUAUCCUUUCAUCGCAUGGUGAUAGGAAGAAAGGGGAAACCCGCUUUCAGAUGGGCCCGCGUCCCAUCAGCUAGUUGGUAAGGUAAAGGCUUACCAAGGCGACGACGGGUAGCCGGUACUGAGAGGAUGUACGGCCACACUGGGACUGAGAUACGGCCCAGACUCCUACGGGAGGCAGCAGUUGGGAAUCUUAGGCAAUGGACGAAAGUCUGACCUAGCGACGCCGCGUGAGGGAAGAAGGCCUUCGGGUUGUAAACCUCUGUCAUGGGGGAAGAAGUAAGUGACGGUACCCAAGAGGAAGCCCCUGCCUAACUACGUG
This 476-nucleotide ribosomal RNA is filed under the name uncultured bacterium. Its description in RNAcentral is "bacterial SSU rRNA". It matches the Rfam family "Bacterial small subunit ribosomal RNA", at positions 28 to 507 of the family's 1533-position model. The record is from RNAcentral.